Molecule: ribosomal RNA, 773 nt
Filed under: uncultured bacterium
Lineage: Bacteria
Description: bacterial SSU rRNA
Rfam family: Bacterial small subunit ribosomal RNA
Source: RNAcentral
AGAAAUAGUGGGUAAUACCGAAUACGCUCGCACGGAUAAAGCUGUGUGAGGAAAGGUGCUACGGCGCCGGCCUGUAGAUGAGUCCGCGUCCCAUUAGUUAGUUGGUGAGGUAAAGGCCCACCAAGGCGAUGAUGGGUAGCCGGCCUGAGAGGGUGUACGGCCACACUGGGACUGAGAUACGGCCCAGACUCCUACGGGAGGCAGCAGCUAAGAAUAUUCCGCAAUGGACGGAAGUCUGACGGAGCGACGCCGCGUGGAUGACGAAGGCCGAAAGGUUGUAAAAUCCUUUUGCUGGGGAAGAAUAAGUCUGGGAGGGAAUGCCCGGAUGAUGACAUGAACCGGCGAAUAAGCCCCGGCCAACUACGUGCCAGCAGCCGCGGUAACACGUAGGGGGCGAGCGUUGUUCGGAAUUACUGGGCGUAAAGGGCAUGUAGGCGGUUUUGUAAGCCUGGCGUGAAAGAUCACAGCUUAACUGUGAGGGUGCGUUGGGAACUGCGAGGCUAGAGUUAUGGAGAGGGAGCUAGAAUUCCUGGUGUAGGGGUGGAAUCUGUAGAGAUCAGGAAGAAUACCAAUGGCGAAGGCAAGCUUCUGGCCGAUGACUGACGCUGAGGUGCGAAAGUGUGGGGAUCAAACAGGAUUAGAUACCCUGGUAGUCCACACUGUAAACGAUGUGCACUAGGUGCUGGUGCGGAUGCAUCAGUGCCGUAGCUAACGUGAUAAGUGCACCGCCUGGGGAGUAUGCUCGCAAGGGUGAAACUCAAAGGAAUUGACGG